This 301-nucleotide ribosomal RNA is filed under the name uncultured bacterium. RNAcentral's name for it is "partial 16S ribosomal RNA". It matches the Rfam family "Bacterial small subunit ribosomal RNA", at positions 509 to 807 of the family's 1533-position model. The record is from RNAcentral.
CAGUCGCCGCGGGAAUACGGAGGGAGCUAGCGUUGUUCGGAAUUACAGGGCGUAAAGCGCACGUAGGCGGCUAUUCAAGUCAGGGGUGAAAGCCCGGGGCUCAACCCCGGAACUGCCUUUGAAACUAGAUAGCUUGAAUCUUGGAGAGGCGAGUGGAAUUCCGAGUGUAGAGGUGAAAUUCGUAGAUAUUCGGAAGAACACCAGUGACGAAGGCGACUCGCUGGACAAGUAUUGACGCUGAGGAGCGAAAGCGUGGGGAGCGAACAGGAUUAGAUACCCCGGUAGUCCCUGUCUCUUAUAC